GCAAAACUUGGUCAUUUAGAGGAAGUAAAAGUCGUAACAAGGUUUCCGUAGGUGAACCUGCGGAAGGAUCAUUACAAAAAAGGCCUUUAACCUUUUUUAAUUCACCACUCUGUGCACUUUAAUUGGCGUCUCAAUUUAAAGAUUGGGAUCGUCAAUCACUUUUUUUUCAAAGCCUUAAUUUUUUGUCUGACGUUAUUUGAAAAUAAUAACAAGAAAUACAACUUUCAACAACGGAUCUCUUGGCUCUCGCAUCGAUGAAGAACGCAGC
Molecule: unclassified non-coding RNA, 268 nt
Filed under: uncultured fungus
Lineage: Eukaryota; Fungi
Description: partial contains small subunit ribosomal RNA, internal transcribed spacer 1, and 5.8S ribosomal RNA
Rfam family: Eukaryotic small subunit ribosomal RNA (bases 1-74)
Source: RNAcentral